UACGUAGGUGACAAGUGUUAUCCGGAAUCACUGGGCGUAAAGCGUCUGUAGGUGGUUUAGAAAGUCUGCUGUUAAAGCCUGAAGCUUAACUUCAAAAAUGCAGUGGAAACUUCUAGACUCGAGUGUGGUAGGGGUAGAGGGAAUUUCCAGUGGAGCGGUGAAAUGCGUAGAUAUUGGAAAGACCACCAAUGGCGAAGGCACUCUACUGGGCCAUAACUGACACUGAGAGACGAAAGCCAGGGGAGCGAAUGGG
This 253-nucleotide ribosomal RNA is filed under the name uncultured bacterium. Its description in RNAcentral is "partial 16S ribosomal RNA". It matches the Rfam family "Bacterial small subunit ribosomal RNA", at positions 524 to 776 of the family's 1533-position model. The record is from RNAcentral.